UGGGGAAUAUUGGACAAUGGGCGCAAGCCUGAUCCAGCCAUGCCGCGUGAGUGACGAAGGUCUUCGGAUUGUAAAGCUCUUUUGGCGGGGACGAUAAUGACGGUACCCGCAGAAUAAGCCCCGGCUAACUUCGUGCCAGCAGCCGCGGUAAUACGAAGGGGGCUAGCGUUGUUCGGAAUCACUGGGCGUAAAGGGCGCGUAGGCGGCAAUUCAAGUCAUCUGUGAAAUCUCCGGGCUUAACUCGGAACGGUCAGAUGAUACUGCUUUGCUAGAGUGCAGAAGGGGCAAUCGGAAUUCUUGGUGUAGCGGUGAAAUGCGUAGAUAUCAAGAGGAACACCUGAGGUGAAGACGGGUUGCUGGGCUGACACUGACGCUGAGGCGCGAAAGCCAGGGGAGCAAACGGGAUUAGAUACCCUCGUAGUCCCUGAGCGGGCUGGCAAGGCGCAU
RNAcentral lists this ribosomal RNA (447 nucleotides) under uncultured bacterium. RNAcentral describes it as "bacterial SSU rRNA". It matches the Rfam family "Bacterial small subunit ribosomal RNA", at positions 355 to 825 of the family's 1533-position model. The record is from RNAcentral.